This 1163-nucleotide ribosomal RNA is filed under the name Polyscytalum pini-canariensis. RNAcentral describes it as "partial large subunit ribosomal RNA". It matches the Rfam family "Eukaryotic large subunit ribosomal RNA", at positions 79 to 1440 of the family's 3401-position model. Lineage: Eukaryota; Fungi; Ascomycota; Sordariomycetes; Amphisphaeriales; Phlogicylindriaceae. The record is from RNAcentral.
CCUAGUAACGGCGAGUGAAGCGGCAACAGCUCAAAUUUGAAAUCUGGCCUUUGGUCCGAGUUGUAAUUUGUAGAGGAUGAUUUUGGUGCGGUACCUUCCGAGUUCCCUGGAACGGGACGCCUUAGAGGGUGAGAGCCCCGUACGGUUGGAUGCCUAGCCUAUGUAAAUCUCCUUCGACGAGUCGAGUAGUUUGGGAAUGCUGCUCUAAAUGGGAGGUAAAUUUCUUCUAAAGCUAAAUACAAGCCAGAGACCGAUAGCGCACAAGUAGAGUGAUCGAAAGAUGAAAAGCACUUUGAAAAGAGGGUUAAACAGCACGUGAAAUUGUUGAAAGGGAAGCGCUUAUGACCAGACUUUUUCUAGGCGGAUCAUCCGGUGUUUUCACCGGUGCACUUCGCCUGGUUUAGGCCAGCAUCGGUUUCUAUAGGGAGAUAAAAGCUUCAGGAAUGUGACUCCUUCGGGAGUGUUAUAGCCUGUUGUAUAAUAUCCUUACGGGGACCGAGGUACGCGCUCUGCAAGGAUGCUGGCAUAAUGGUCAUCAGCGACCCGUCUUGAAACACGGACCAAGGAGUCGAACAUUUGUGCGAGUGUUUGGGUGUUAAACCCUCACGCGUAAUGAAAGUGAACGGAGGUGAGAGCCUUUUAGGUGCAUCAUCGACCGAUCCUGAUGUCUUCGGAUGGAUUUGAGUAGGAGCAUAACUGUUCGGACCCGAAAGAUGGUGAACUAUGCGUGGAUAGGGUGAAGCCAGAGGAAACUCUGGUGGAGGCUCGCAGCGGUUCUGACGUGCAAAUCGAUCGUCAAAUCUGCGCAUGGGGGCGAAAGACUAAUCGAACCAUUAAACCAGCGGUAAAUAUAUUUACUAGGUGGUUAAGAGGGCGCCCGCGAGGGCAUAUAAAACCUAGGCUUGGGAUAGCUUACCCGGUAGCUGCCCUGUAGCUACCCUGUACGCCGUUCCAGGCCGACACCGCUAAAUUGCGGGGACAUCCUUUAAGACUCCAGGCUACCGCGGCGCGCUGAGAAGUGUGGUCGCACCGAGAAUAAUGCUCUUGGGUAUGGUAAAAACGCCUGGCAGUUGGGACGACCUGCAGCCAACCCCGAUGUCUAGGGGAGAGUUCACAGACUAAACAGCGGUGGGUUAGCUUAUAGCUAGCCUAAGAUAUAGUCG